RNAcentral lists this ribosomal RNA (93 nucleotides) under uncultured Skeletonema. RNAcentral's name for it is "partial 5.8S ribosomal RNA". It matches the Rfam family "5.8S ribosomal RNA", at positions 67 to 154 of the family's 154-position model. Rfam says of the family: 5.8S ribosomal RNA (5.8S rRNA) is a component of the large subunit of the eukaryotic ribosome. Lineage: Eukaryota; Bacillariophyta; Thalassiosirophyceae; Thalassiosirales; Thalassiosiraceae. The record is from RNAcentral.
GCGAAUUGCAGAACCUCGUGAAUCAUCAAAAUUUUGAACGCACAUUGCGCUACUGAGUAAUCUCAGUAGCAUGCUUAUCUGAGUGUCUCUAAA